AGAAAGUGAUCCUUCACCAAUUCGGACUCACGCCCUUGAAACUUGUGCGUGGUGAUGCACUGCUUUCUUGGUUGUCUCCUUGGAAACCGCAGCCUGACAGGUCCUCUGCUGGCGCCGAGAAGAGCGCCUGGAGGGGCAGGUGUUCUCAGGAUGCCGACUGCGCCUGCGCUCGGCCACCGCGCCCUCGUAGUAAGAGAGGCCCGGAUGGAGGACGCGGAGACGCGCCGUUGCUAUGGCAGCCGGGUCCUCGCCGCGGUGGGAACAGGUGCUGGGGUCUCCCUCACCUCGCUGUCAGAGCUUAGAAAGAGGAAGAGAGGAGAACUCCCUCGGCCAUCUCUGUGACCCCAGCCGCUGCAUCUUACACAGCAUUAUUCUUUAACAAACGGAAAAUGGAUGAAAAUAAAGAUAUGGACUCAAAAGAAAGUGGAGAAUAUGAAGAUGACUUCGAAAAGGACCUGGAAUGGUUAAUUAAUGAAAAAGAAAAAAGUGAUACCGGCAUAAUAGAGAUGGCUUGUGGGAAUGAAGAGAAUAUUAACCAAGAAUUAAAAGACAAUGAAACAGAAAUGGAACACACCAAACAGCACUCUGAUCCUGAUAAAUCCUUGAAGGGUGAGCUUUCACCAAGAAGAAAUGACUUCAUUUCUGUACCGAGUAUUCAACCUUUGGAUCCCAUAUCAGAUUCAGAUAGUGAAAACUCUUUCCAGGAAUCCAAAGUGGAAAGCCAGAGAGACCUGGAAGAGGAAGAGGAUGAGGAAGUAAGGAGAUAUAUUAUGGAGAAAAUUAUACAAGCCAACAAGAUUCUACAGAGUCAAGAACCUGUGAAUGAUAAAAGGGAGCGAAAACUUAAGUUCAAAGACAAAUUAGUUGAUCUGGAAGUUCCUCCACUGGAAGACACUGAUACUCACCAAAAUUAUUUUGAAAAUGAAAGUAGUAUGUCAGGGAAACUGUCACAGUUAUGUAUUUCCAGUGAAUUUGGACAAGAAAAUGUGCUCCUGUCACUAACUGAUGGAAACUGUGAAGAAAACAAGGAUAGGAAAAUAUUAGUUGAGAGAGAUGGAAAGUUUGAACUUAUGAAUUUACAAGACAUUGAGAGUCAGGGGUUUUUGCCCCCCAUUAAUGCUAAUAGUACAGAAAAUGAACCUCACCAGUUGUCACCCAGAUCUUCAAACUCAAAUGUCAAUGGGGUCAAGAAAGAAGAGCCUAUAGCAAAGAUUCAUGCUAUUGUUCACUCACUAACAGAAGAGCCACUGGCUUAUAUCCCUCAGCCACCACCCAACCCCAAGACUCGUCCAAGCUCUGCUGCCUGCUCGGAUCGAAGUAGGGGGAAUGGGAAAUAUAACCACAGGACACACUCUGCAAAUAUAUCUCCAGUGACCUCAACAUAUUGUCUUUCCCCUCGACAGAAAGAACUGCAAAAACGGCUAGAACUAAAGAGAGAAAAGCUAAAGAGGGAGAUCCUUUUAGAACUCUCCCCAGAUUUCUGGCAAGAAGACUGGAAUGAAGAAAUGGAGGAGGGUACAGAGGAAGUGACGAUGGUGCAGAGGGAAAGAGGAAGAUGGUUCCAGAGGCAGGACCUUGGUGCAGGAUGGCAGUUGCGUGACCAGAGACAAAGGAAGAGGAGAAAGGGAAGAAGAUGGUGCCUGAGACCCAAAAGAGGAUGGGUCUUUUUAAAAUUGUUUGUUUGCUUCAGUUAAUUUAGAAAUGGUAUUUUGUAAAGAAGAGAUUUUUAGAAUCCUGAAUAUGUUUAAAAGCUUCCAGGUACCAACUGAAAUAGGCAUCCCAUUUGAUUGUCUUUAUAACCCUUUUCCAGUUGUGCAUACAAAGUGAACUAAUUUUAGGAUAUGAAAAGUGCCUGUUUUGGCCGAUGAAGUUUUAAAUCAUCUUGGGUAAUUUGAUCCAAUGGGGAAAAUUCACAGCAAGAAGGGCCGUAUUCCUUAACAAAAAUACUGCAGGUGUUGCAGUAAGGGGCUGAUUAGUAGAAGCUCCUUUGAAGGAUUAUUUCCAAUAAUUGAGUACUUACCAAGAGCCUGAAACCCAAAUAUUCCGUUCAAAAUGAGUGAAGAUAGAAUCCUCCCCCUCAAAAAUGAGUGAGGACGGAAGCCAGCAACAGAGGACACCCAAAUAAAGGCCUGAACCUUGACCGAGGUGGAGGUUCAGGACCAAGAGGAUUUAUCAUUGUGACUCGAGGCCACCAAGGAUACGUCAGAUUGCAGGGGACUCUUGGUACCAGAGACAGAGUCCAGGCACUCUGGAUCCUACCAACUAUGCCAAGUAAUGCUGGUCAAGAAGAAGAGGCUGCGAAACAACCAGAGCAUUUGUUUGGAGUCUUAGGGAUUGCAACCCGGGAAACAGGGUCAACCCAAAUGGAAAGUGCUCUGACUUGUCAGCAGGGCGUGCAGGCUUGUGAAGACAAAAGCCACAAAAACUUGUUUUGAAAGAUAGUUUAAACUGACCAUCUAAUACACAAUUGGCUAUUUAGAUGAGAAUACUGAGUUAAGUGGGUUGCCCAAACUACAUCGUCUGAUGGCGGAAGAGCAACGAAAAAUAGAAGAAGAGAAAGAAAAGAAAAAAGAGAAUGACAUGGUAUUUAAAGCAUGGUUGCAAAAGAAAAG
This is an RNA transcript of Ailuropoda melanoleuca (giant panda), 2612 nucleotides long. It is a transcript of the gene named coiled-coil domain containing 181, with no coding region annotated. The transcript is spliced from 6 exons. NCBI's taxonomy places the organism in Eukaryota, Metazoa, Chordata, Mammalia, Carnivora, Ursidae. The record is from RefSeq and is a predicted model, not a curated record.